Molecule: long non-coding RNA, 1083 nt
Organism: Scatophagus argus
Lineage: Eukaryota; Metazoa; Chordata; Actinopteri; Scatophagidae
Exons: 3
Source: RefSeq, a predicted model, not a curated record
GAGAAGCCCAGGUGUAACUGAUUACAUUAUGUUGCUGUAGCCGCCUAUCUGAAUGGUCGGAGUUGUGACGCCUCCUCUGGUUUUCCUCUGUUCCACUAACUUCUAACCUGUUGUCUCUCUGCAUUUCAAGAAACCAGGCAAAGAUAGGACCACACCUCAGCCUCGCUCACUGUUGAUGAAGAGGUCAGGUUGGACACAAGCGCUAAGCAAGACAUGGGCCUGAAGCAGCAGAGAAUCAUGACGUGAAUCUCUAAAAAGAAAGCACACAGAGCAGUUGCCUUAAAUAUGGACUAUUCUGCUGAAUGUACUGGCCGUCUGACGCUCGCUCCUCUGCCUGCAUCUUGGACUACUAGCAGGGGGUCCUUCUCUCUGCAGGGGUUGUGAGGAGCCAAAGCAGACACUGAACCGGCAGCCUUAUAAUUCCCUCCACGUUCCUCUGAUUCCCAGCCACUCGCCGAUCAAUAGCAGUCUUUGAGCAAAGCAGAGGCCCUAUUGUGACUGCAUUCACCAGGGCCGGGCUGUGGCCGCCGUUGGUGCAGCUAAACCAUGACGGAUUCAUCCUGGCCUGGUUCUCCCAUUAGUCAGCCACCACGGGUGAAAACACAGACCUGAGGUCCCCUAAUGGGAAUUUAAUGCACUUCAACGUACCUGCAGCCAAAUAGAAAGAAAACGGCCGCUGUUUUUCCCUCCACAGAUGAUGACUCACAGUGGAUAUUAGAUCUCCGCAGCCAGCGAGGCCGACACGUAUCAUAAGCAGAGUCUCUUUGUGUGCAGAAGCGGCUCUAAAUUGGAAUCGGGGCAUUGAGUGCACCUCUGUGCCACUGCUAGGUAUACGGCUUAGUGGAUGGAUCGUUUCUUUUACUGAGAGGGAAGUGUGUGUUUAAUGUGGAAAGGGAAGAGUGUCUAUGUGUGUGUGUGUGUGUGUGUGUGUGUGUGUGUGUGUGUGCAUGCCCUCCUUAACCUUGUGUGUUCACAGGUAAAAGUCCGUCCUUGUGUUUGUUUACCACUCAGUUAUGCAAGCCGGUCCUCUGUUGCUUCCUAUCAGACGAAACUGAUUCUGUGUGGCACAAAUAAACCUUUUCA